Molecule: non-coding RNA, 262 nt
Organism: Cinara cedri
Lineage: Eukaryota; Metazoa; Arthropoda; Insecta; Hemiptera; Aphididae
Source: the annotation of a GenBank genome assembly
UUGUAUUCGCUGGAUAUGAUAAAUAGUACGAUAUGCAUAUUAUAUAAAUAAAUACAAAUCGUUGUAAUUGUGUUUGGCAAAUAUUUUAUAAGGGUUUAAUGUUUCAAACAGGACUAUAUAACCAAAGUGUUUUUGAUUUGUUUCAUUAACAACUGUUGCAAAAUUACAAAACUUUUGCCAAAGGAGUUUUAUGAAGCUGUCCAAACAUUUACUAUCCUCGUGUAGAAACUAUGUACAUAUGUAUACACUGAAAACACGCAUG